Molecule: ribosomal RNA, 513 nt
Filed under: Leiopus convexus
Lineage: Eukaryota; Metazoa; Arthropoda; Insecta; Coleoptera; Cerambycidae
Description: partial large subunit ribosomal RNA
Source: RNAcentral
GGCUUUUUGUGAAUUAUUUAAAGUUUGGCCUGCCCCCUGAAAUUUUUAAAGGGCCGCAGUAUUUUGACUGUGCUAAGGUAGCAUAAUCAUUAGUUUYUUAAUUAGAAGCUGGAAUGAAGGGUUGGAUAAGAAAAUAACUUUCUAAAUUUAAUUUUUUAUGAAUUUUAUUUUUAAGUAAAAAAGCUUAAGUUAGGUUAAAAGACGAGAAGACCCUAUAGAGUUUAAUUUAAUGAUUAAAUUUAAUUUUUAGAAUUUAAAAUUUUAUUUAAAAUUUAAAUUUAAUUGGGGUGAUUAAAAAAUUGAAUUAACUUUUUUUAUUUAAUUUCAUUAAUUUAUGAAUUUUUGAUCCAUUGAUUAUGAUUAAAAGAAAAAAUUACCUUAGGGAUAACAGCGUAAUUUUUUUUGAGAGUUCAAAUUGAAAAAAAAGAUUGCGACCUCGAUGUUGGAUUAAAAUUUCUUUUUGGUGUAGAGGCUAAAAUAGUAGGUCUGUUCGACCUUUAAAAUUUUACAUGA